CCUGCCGAUUAUUAUAUGACCUAAUCUAAAGGGUUACUGUUCAUGUUAGUAAACUCAUUAACUAAUGGACCAUUAUUUUAACGUGUUACCAAAAAAAGUUCAAGGAGAUGUGCACGCGUGAAAGAAACCCUUUAUCAUCGUACUCUUUAAUAGGGUCUCAAAAAUGCCAAAGAUGCUUCAUAAUGAACAAGAGACAAUAACAAAAGAAACGUUUAAAAAACAAACUCCAGAGCACCAAGAGGAAAUCCACGCCAACACGGGGAGAACAUGCAAACUCCACACAGAAACGCCAACUGACACAGCUGGGACUCGAAACAGCGACCUUCUUGCUGUGAGACUACAGUGCUAACCACUGAGCCACCGUGGAUGUAACUAAUCUAGAUUAAUUUGUGUCCAGCACUAAUAAAUCUUUGCCCGCCUCAGUGAAUAAACUUGACAGAAAAGAGUCAAACUAGUCAAGAAAAGUGAAGUUGUUUUAUUGGAGUCAUGCACAUCACACGUGUUAGUGCAAAUAUACCCUUUAUCUGUAUCCAAGACAUUAAAUCACUUAUAUCCUGUCUUUUUAAAAUAGAUUUCUGACAAUGAACUACCGUUGAUGUUCAAAACAAGUCAUUCUGAGCUCUAAAACAAUACAGACCAAUAUAAAUAUAUAGGUACAGGCAGUGUGCAGUACUGUACUGUCUUAACUGGAAGUUUCUGACCAAUUUAAAGAUGUCUUAGAAAACAAGCCUUGUCCAUGAGCAAGUGACAUAUCUCUAUAAACCAAUAGCGUUUAGCUGCGAGUCUAGCUUCGCCUUUUGGUACCCUUUUGCCGGGCCAGGUACCCUUUGCAACGGGUAUCCAAAAAGUGGUACGGUGCGGUUCGCUUUUAGGUACCCUUUGACAGUGGAAACGGCCAUAAAAAGCUACCAAACUGUACCGUACCACUGAGUGGAAAUAGGUCAUUAGUUCCCAAACUCUUGAGGCAGCUAGAAGAAAAAAAACUUGGUCUGCAAAACAUGCAAUCUUAACGUGGAAAUAAAAGUCCUGAAUUAAAAAACGUGUUUGCAAGGCCAAAAAGAUGUUAAAAAUUCAUGUAGAAAACCAAACUAACAAGGAGAACUCGUAUUAAAUAAAAAAUUACGUAUUAAUCAAGUGUCUCCAGGAGCAAAUUAGAUGUGACCAACAUCAUUUAUAACCAAUUUUUAUUCUUUUUUGUGACUAUAACAUAUAUUUACACACAAACAUUCAUACAUACAUAUUUACAACAGCCUAAGCAAUCUUCUAACGUGAAGGACGAUUUCUCCAAAAAAAAACACCUAAAAAUAAAGAAUAAAAAGUCCAUCAUGCUGUUUAACGAAAGCAUUAUGAACAAAAUGCAGGAGAUCAUUUUAAAGCUAUCCUUUCUGUGCUACAAGCUUUGCUUUGUUUUGCAUUCGUGGUUAAAUCCAUGUUGAAGCGUUCAAUGGAUUGUUGAUGUAUGUCUUUCCAGUAAAGUGAUACAAAAAAAAAAUAAUAGAAAGAGAUGCAAAAACAAGUCCUCGACACGUUGAACCAGACGAGUUAGGCUUUUUUUUAUGCUCCACGUCUGUUUAUUUACAGCACAGCAGACAAAUGUGAACCACACACCAAACACAUCAUCGGUUAAUUCAUCUUCCUCCAAAAGUCUCUCAAAGCAGCUCGCACAACAUCCACAUUUCAACAAAUACACGCCGUUCACCAACAAAAAUAACUUUCCUGUGCUUCCCAUUCAUUUUUAAAGCAUCCGAUUUCCAAAACCUAUGUUACAGAUAAGGCAGCAAAAUCCCAGAGCCUUUUUUUUUUUUUUUGAGGAGGUACUGUCGGAGAUUUAGUACAGAAACAAACAACAGGAGCUGUGAACUCAAAGUGCUCCUUUUUAGUCCAGACAGCAGGACAGUGUGUUGGUAAAAAGCUACGUUUGUGUGUGUGUGUGUGUGUGUGUGGCGUUGUUUUGGGCAGGGCGACACCGGGCCACGGAGCGCCCGAUCUUGACCGGCUCAUCCAGGUAAACAUGGCGUUCCUGAAACGGGUGUGAAUUCGGGCGGCAGGAGAACACGGCCAGCGCUGAAGGCAUUGAGGAUGGCUUGGGAGUGUUACUCCAACCAGAGACGAAAGACAGGGUUUCUUGAUCCAGACUGACCUGUUGCUCCAAUUCUUCCUAAUGAAUGACCAGCAGACCAACGCACAUAGUAAUACGAAAAAAAUUCCAACUCUACAAAAAGACCCCUGCUAAACCGACUACAUAACGUCAACAAGACUGUAUAUUUAUACACUAUGUAGAUGACUUCUUGCCCCCUUGCGAGACCCCCAUGUUGCCGAACCAAACCCAAUACAGCUGCCCAAUUCCAUACAAAUCUGUGUGUCCAGAUGACAGUCCACAAUUCGAGCUGUUAUACUUCGUUCCCAACACAAUUCAUCCUCGUCCCCCUUUACAAGCAUAGGCCUGGCCAGUAAACAACCCAGCAACUAGUACACCAAUAACCUGUUGAAUUGGUCAACCUUUACUCAUAAAAAAAGAAGUAUUACUGUCACGUUGACAUGCGUGUCUAUAUUUAGAGGGAAUGACUGCUGGGCACGAAAUGCACUUGUGAAAAUGCUAAACCGUAAUGAAGAUUAAUAAUGAUGUGAGUGGGUUUGGCUGAAGUAUGCAGAACAGACCAUCAAGCCACCACUCCCCAAGACAGAGUAAUUAAUAUUGAAAAAUACCUCAAAUGCCUACUUAAACAGACUUCAAAUGCAAGUAUUUAGCUGUCAGGAUUGUAUACAAGAGCACAGCUCGCGCGGAGGGUGUUUUCUUGCGCACGAGAGCGUUAGCUGGCUAACUUCAUAUUAGCUCGUUAGCUUCGCUGAGGUAACACUGGCCUUCUACUUUCACCUUAUCGAGCCGUCCAAGCUGGAAGAGACUUUAUAAAUAACCCCGAGCUGAUUUAUCCCCGAAAACCAGCUAUUUGUUCGGUCUGUGGAACUUUCAUGCGCGGAGAAUUUGCGUAAAUCCAGUAUUAGCUCGCGAGCUCGGUAACUAGCUUAGCCUGCUGAGAGACACAAAAAUUUCCCCAGAAAAGAAAGUCAUACACGAAUAAAGUCCAUGACACGGUCCCGUGUUAAGCCAUGGAGGUCUCCGCUUUCCGGAACGCUGAAAUCGGGAGGAAAAUCGUUGUGUGCGACGGGAUAAUUGGAAGUAAGUCGUCCACUUGAAGAGAUAUACACACACAUACACACCGGCCACAAACCGCCGCGGGGCUCGCGCACCACCG
This is a non-coding RNA of Danio rerio (zebrafish), 3254 nucleotides long. The record is from Ensembl. Lineage: Eukaryota; Metazoa; Chordata; Actinopteri; Cypriniformes; Danionidae.